AGUGAACGCUGGCGGUAGGCCUAACACAUGCAAGUCGAACGGCAGCACAGUAAGAGCUUGCUCUUACGGGUGGCGAGUGGCGGACGGGUGGGGUAUACAUCGGAAUCUACUUUUUUGUGGGGGAUAACGUAGGGAAACUUACGCUAAUAUCGCAUACCACCUACGGGUGAAAGCAGGGGAUCUUCGGACCUUGCGCGAUUGAAUGAGCCGAUGUCGGAUUAGCUAGUUGGCGGGGUAAAGGCCCACCAAGGCGGCGGUCCGUAGCUGGUCUGAGAGGAGGAUCACCGACAGUGGAGCUGAGACACGAUCCAGACUCCUACGGGAGGCAGCAAGGGGGAAUAUAGGACAAUGGGCGGAAUACUGAUCAAGCCAUACAGCAUGGGUGAAGAAAGGCUGCGGGUUGUAAAGCCCUUUUGUUGGGAAAGAAAAGCAGCAGGAUAAAACCCCGCUGUUCUGACGGUACCCAAAGAAUAAGCACCGGCUAACUUCGUG
This 492-nucleotide ribosomal RNA is filed under the name uncultured bacterium. RNAcentral's name for it is "partial 16S ribosomal RNA". It matches the Rfam family "Bacterial small subunit ribosomal RNA", at positions 29 to 507 of the family's 1533-position model. The record is from RNAcentral.